UACGGAAGGCAGCAGUGGGGAAUAUUGCACAAUGGGCGCAAGCCUGAUGCAGCCAUGCCGCGUGUAUGAAAAAGGCCUUCGGGUUGUAAAGUACUUUCAGUCGUGAGGAAGGUGUUAAGGUUAAUAACCUUAGCAAUUGACGUUAGCGACAGAAGAAGCACCGGCUAACUCCGUGCCAGCAGCCGCGGUAAUACGGAGGGUGCGAGCGUUAAUUGGAAUUACUGGGCGUAAAGGGCACGCAGGCGGUUAAUUAAGUUGGAUGUGAAAUCCCCGGGCUUAACCUGGGAAUGGCAUUCAAGACUGGUUAGCUAGAGUCUUGUAGAGGGGGUAGAAUUCCAUGUGUAGCGGUGAAAUGCGUAGAGAUGUGGAGGAAUACCGGUGGCGAAGGCGGCCCCUGGACAAAGACUGACGCUCAUGUGCGAAAGCGUGGGGAGCAAACAGGGAUUAGAUACC
RNAcentral lists this ribosomal RNA (453 nucleotides) under uncultured bacterium. RNAcentral's name for it is "bacterial SSU rRNA". It matches the Rfam family "Bacterial small subunit ribosomal RNA", at positions 340 to 786 of the family's 1533-position model. The record is from RNAcentral.